AAUAUUGCACAAUGGGGGAAACCCUGAUGCAGCGACCCCGCGUGAGGGAAGAAGUAUUUCGGAAUGUACAGCUCUAUCAGCAGGGAAGAAAAUGACGGUACCUGACUAAGAAUCCCCGGCUAACUACUUGCCAGCAGCCGCGGUAAUACGUAGGGGCAAGCGUUAUCCGGAUUUACUGGGUGUAAAGGGAGCGUAGGUGGCAAAUCAAGUCAGAUGUGAAAGCCCGGGGCUCAACUCCGGGAUUGCAUUUGAAACUGGUAUGCUAGAGUGCAGGAGAGGUAAGUGGAAUUCCUAGUGUAGCGGUGAAAUGCGUAGAUAUUAGGAGGAACACCAGUGGCGAAGGCGGCUUACUGGACUGUAACUGACACUGAGGCUCGAAAGCGUGGGGAGCAAAC
RNAcentral lists this ribosomal RNA (395 nucleotides) under uncultured bacterium. RNAcentral describes it as "partial 16S ribosomal RNA". It matches the Rfam family "Bacterial small subunit ribosomal RNA", at positions 360 to 773 of the family's 1533-position model. The record is from RNAcentral.